CAGCAGUAGGGAAUCUUCCACAAUGAGCGAAAGCUUGAUGGAGCGACACAGCGUGCAGGAUGAAGGUUUUCGAAUUGUAAACUGCUGUUAUAGGGGAAGAAAAACUUGGAUAGGAAAUGAUCCAAACUUGACGGUACCUUAUUAGAAAGUGACGGCUAACUAUGUGCCAGCAGCCGCGGUAAUACAUAGGUCACAAGCGUUAUCCGGAAUUAUUGGGCGUAAAGCGUUCGUAGGCGGUUUGUUAAGUCUGGAGUUAAAGACUGGGGCUCAACCCCAGCCCGCUCUGGAUACUGGCUGACUAGAGUUACAUAGAGGUAAGUGGAAUUCUUAGUGGAGCGGUGGAAUGCGUAGAUAUUAGGAAGAACACCAAUGGCGAAGGCAGCUUACUGGAUGUACACUGACGCUCAGGGACGAAAGCGUGGGGAGCAAACAGGAUUAGAUACCCUGGUAGUCCACGCCGUAAACGAUGAUCAUUAGCCGCUAGAAUACUUAGUGGCGCAGCUAACGCAUUAAAUGAUCCGCCUGAGUAGUAUGCUCGCAAGAGUGAAACUUAAAGGAAUUGACGGGGACCCGCACAAGCGGUGGAGCAUGUGGUUUAAUUUGAAGAUACGCGUAGAACCUUACCCACUCUUGACAUCUUCCGCAAUACUAUGGAGACAUAGUGGAGGUUAACGGAAUGACAGAUGGUGCAUGGUUGUCGUCAGCUCGUGCCGUGAGGUGUUAGGUUAAGUCCUGCAACGAGCGCAACCCCUGUCUUUAGUUACUAACGGAUAAUGCCGAGGACUCUAGAGAGACUGACUGGGUAACCAGUAGGAAGGUGGGGACGACGUCAAAUCAUCAUGCCUCUUACGAGUGGGGCAACACACGUGCUACAAUGGACGGUACAAAGAGAAGCAAUAUGGUGACAUGGAGCAAACCUCAAAAACCGUUCUCAGUUCGGAUUGAAGUCUGAAACUCGACUUCAUGAAGUUGGAAUCGCUAGUAAUCGUAGAUCAGCUACGCUACGGUGAAUACGUUCUCGGGUCUUGUAC
Molecule: ribosomal RNA, 1031 nt
Filed under: uncultured Mycoplasma sp.
Lineage: Bacteria; Bacillati; Mycoplasmatota; Mollicutes; Mycoplasmatales; Mycoplasmataceae
Description: bacterial SSU rRNA
Rfam family: Bacterial small subunit ribosomal RNA
Source: RNAcentral